Non-coding RNA from Odobenus rosmarus divergens (Pacific walrus), 285 nucleotides. Lineage: Eukaryota; Metazoa; Chordata; Mammalia; Carnivora; Odobenidae. The record is from the annotation of a RefSeq genome assembly.
GUGCAGCUGGUGGAGACUGGGGGAGACCUGGUGAAAUUUAGGGGUCCCUGAGACUCUCCUGAGCAGCCCCUGGAUUCACCUUCAGUAGUAAUGCCAUGAGCUGGGUCUGCCAGGCUCCAGGGAAGGAGUAGCAAUGAGUCUCAGUUAUUAGAUAUGAAAGUAGCACAUACUAUGCAGACUCUAUGAAGGGCCGAUUCUCCAUCUCCAAUGACAACACCAAGAACACACUGUAUCUGCAGAUGCACAGCCUGAGAAUUGAGGACACGGCCGUGUAUGACUUUGCAA